RNAcentral lists this ribosomal RNA (433 nucleotides) under uncultured bacterium. Its description in RNAcentral is "partial 16S ribosomal RNA". It matches the Rfam family "Bacterial small subunit ribosomal RNA", at positions 29 to 507 of the family's 1533-position model. The record is from RNAcentral.
AACGAACGCUGGCGGCAUGCCUAACACAUGCAAGUCGAACGAGACCUUCGGGGCUAGUGGCGCACGGGUGCGUAACGCGUGGGAACCUGCCCUUAGGUUCGGAAUAACUCCCCGAAAGGGGUGCUAAUACCGGAUAAUGUCUUCGGACCAAAGAUUUAUCGCCUUUGGAUGGGCCCGCGUUGGAUUAGCUAGUUGGUAGGGUAAAAGCCUACCAAGGCGACGAUCCAUAGCUGGUCUGAGAGGAUGAUCAGCCACACUAGGACUGAGACACGGCCCAGACUCCUACGGGAGGCAGCAGUGGGGAAUAUUGGACAAUGGGCGAAAGCCUGAUCCAGCAAUGCCGCGUGAGUGAUGAAGGCCUUAGGGUUGUAAAGCUCUUUUACCCGGGAUGAUAAUGACAGUACCGGGAGAAUAAGCGCCGGCUAACUCCGUG